This 300-nucleotide long non-coding RNA is filed under the name Ananas comosus (pineapple). RNAcentral's name for it is "long non-coding RNA (ACOM_LNC027331)". The record is from RNAcentral. Lineage: Eukaryota; Viridiplantae; Streptophyta; Magnoliopsida; Poales; Bromeliaceae.
AUAAAGUCAAAUGCAGUUUGUCGUUUGAUGUAAUUUGGAGAUAUAUACUUAGUUGAAAAUGCAGCAGUUGUAAUUAUAUAUAUAUCCUGUUUGGUUGGAUAUAGUAGAAAAUGUUGUACCUAUAAAUAAUUUAUUUGGUUACAUACAGUUGAGAAAUAUUUUUUAAAAUUUUAUCAUUUCAUAUAUAUAUAUAUAUAUAGAGUAGGGCUACUGUGCUAUUAGGAGCACAGCAGUCCUUGUGCUCCUAACUUUCUAACCACCCACCAGUUUGAUGGAUGGUUAGAAUGAGAGAGGGUGGAU